UGCCUGUAGAGCGGGACUCUGAUGAUACUUCAUGGGAGAGCUUCUCUGAAAGGCUCUGGGCUGCAGACGACAAUACCUGAGAUGAAAAGAGCAUUUUCCCCCCACCCCGUUCCUGCCAUCGUGAGGCACUGCAUUACCGGCACAGGGUCAGUCACUGCGACAGCUACAAGGGCCGCAUGCCGCAACUCUGUGAAGCGUUCAACACUGGGCUUGUCAUCAAUGUGUAAGAGGAUCUUGGUGAGCUCCACGCUGACCUGAAAGAUGGAAGCUAGGUUCGGCUUUGGCCAAGCACUUUGGCAGAAUCUGAAUUAAAGCUUGGAUUUGGCGGAAUCCUGGAUUUUGGUGCAUUCCUGCAUAUUAUAAAUGUAGAUGAAUCAAUCAGUGUUCCUUUAUAACACUACAAUCUACCUGGGGCACUUGGGUUUGAUGAUUCCAGAAGUAGUUCCAUGUAGCCUGGGCAAAUCACUAGCUUUCUUCCUCUAAUCUCAGGCUGCAGUGAAUCUUUGUAUUUUAAUAAAUCAGCAGCUGUAAUUGUGCCAGACUGUA
Long non-coding RNA from Xenopus laevis (African clawed frog), 546 nucleotides. RefSeq lists it as uncharacterized. The record is from RefSeq and is a predicted model, not a curated record. Lineage: Eukaryota; Metazoa; Chordata; Amphibia; Anura; Pipidae. The transcript is spliced from 3 exons.